AUGAAUAUAUCUAGAUAUAUUUUAGUUUUAGAUACAUUCAUUUUUAUUUAUUUAUUUGACAAGUAUUUUCGAACGGAGAGAGUAUUAAUAGAAAAACGGGGGAAACUCUCCAACGUCGUGCGCUGUCCAAAAAAGAGGCAACUGAUACAGAACCAUACCGGCCGAGACAGGCAGCGUACUGUGGAACAGAGGAAAACCAACCGGACCCUGCCCGGCUCGGCUGCCCUCCCCCUCGUCACCCCCUCCAUUUCCGACUCCCCACGAUCCCCGCACCCCGACCCCGAUCCGCGCCAACUCACCGCCGGGAUCCGGCGAGCCCCUCUCGCCCGGCCGCGGCUACCGCCCCACAUGUCCGUCGGCAGGACGAUCUAG
This 372-nucleotide ribosomal RNA is filed under the name Triticum aestivum (bread wheat). RNAcentral's name for it is "partial small subunit ribosomal RNA". The record is from RNAcentral. Lineage: Eukaryota; Viridiplantae; Streptophyta; Magnoliopsida; Poales; Poaceae.